AUACGUAGGUGGCAAGCGUUGUCCGGAUUUACUGGGCGUAAAGGAUGCGUAGGCGGAUGUUUAAGUGAGAUGUGAAAUACCCGAGCUCAACUCGGGGUGCUGCAUUUCAAACUGGAUAUCUAGAGUGCAGGAGAGGAAAGCGGAAUUCCUAGUGUAGCGGUGAAAUGCGUAGAGAUUAGGAAGAACACCAGUGGCGAAGGCGGCUUUCUGGACUGUAACUGACGCUGAGGCAUGAAAGCGUGGGGAGC
This 248-nucleotide ribosomal RNA is filed under the name uncultured bacterium. RNAcentral describes it as "partial 16S ribosomal RNA". It matches the Rfam family "Bacterial small subunit ribosomal RNA", at positions 523 to 769 of the family's 1533-position model. The record is from RNAcentral.